GUCAGUCAGUCCGUUAGUUUCAGCCCAGUCAGUCAGUCAGUCAGUCAGUCAGUUUCAGCCCAGUCAGUCAGUCAGUUUCAGUCAGUCAGUCAGUCAGUCAGUCAGUUUCAGCCCAGUCAGUCAGUCAGUUUCAGCCCAGUCAUCAGUCAGUUUCAGCCAGUCAGUUUCAGCCCAGUCAGUCAGUCAGUCAGUCAGUUUCAACCAGUCAGUCAGUCAGUAAGUUUCAGCCCAGUCAGUCAGUCAAUCCGUUUCAGCCCAGUCAGUCAGUCAAUCCGUUAGUUUCUGCCCACCCAGUCAGUCAGUCAGCCAGUUUCUGCCCAGUCAGUCAGUCAGUUUCAGCCCAGUCAUCAGUCAGUCAGUCAGUUUCAGCCCAGUCAGUCAGUCAGUUUCAGCCAGUCAGUUUCAGCCCAGUCACCCAGUCAGUCAGUCAGUUUCAACCAGUCAGUCAGUCAGUAAGUUUCAGCCCAGUCAGUCAGUCAAUCCGUUUCAGCCCAGUCAGUCAGUCAAUCCGUUAGUUUCUGCCCAGUCAGUCAGUCAGUCCGUUAGUUUCAGCCCAGUCAGUCAGUCAGUCAGUUUCAGCCCAGUCAGUCAGUCAGUCAGUCAGUCAGUUUCAGCCCAGUCAGUCAGUCAGCCAGUUUCUGCCUAGUCAGUCAGUCAGUCAGUCAGUCAGUCAGUUUCAGCCCAGUCAGUCAGUCAGUCAGUUUCAGCCCAGUCAGUCAGUCAGUUUCAGCCCAGUCAGUCAGUCAGUCAGUCAGUCAGUUUCAGCCCAGUCAGUCAGUCAGUUUCAGCCCAGUCAGUCAGUCAGUUUCAGCCCAGUCAGUCAGUCAGUCAGUUUCAGCCCAGUCAGUCAGUCAGCCAGUUUCUGCCUAGUCAGUCAGUCAGUCAGUUUCAGCCCAGUCAGUCAGUCAGUCAGUUUUCAGCCCAGUCAGUCAGCCAGUUUCAGCCCAGUCAGUCAGUCAGUCAGUUUCAGCCCAGUCAGUCAGUCAGUCAGUUUCAGCCCAGUCAGUCAGUCAGUCAGUCAGUCAGCCAGUUUCUUCCCAGUCAGUCAGUCAGUUUCAG
This is a long non-coding RNA of Oncorhynchus tshawytscha (Chinook salmon), 1059 nucleotides long. NCBI's taxonomy places the organism in Eukaryota, Metazoa, Chordata, Actinopteri, Salmoniformes, Salmonidae. The record is from Ensembl.